UAGUUUUACCUGAAUUUGAUAUAUCUCUAAGCUGGGAAAAAGAGUGCUACAAGAUUAUUUUGUUCUGUUUGUCCAACAGUAAAUCUAAGAUGUUCAAGUGCAGUGUGACAGUUGAAGAUGCCUCUGUUUACGAAGAAUCCAGCAAUGAAAACAUACUCCCAUGUCAGCAGCCACGCCUACCCACAUAAACUGCUAAACACCAUGUUUUCCCUGAAAUAACAAGAAUUCCAGUCUACAUGGGAAUCAACAUGUGUCAUAUUUCCAUGUUCUGCAACAAAGAUCAUUUCACUGCUGAAGAAAAGUGCCAAUCACUGAGAAGAACGUCAACCUUGGUGUACCUCAAACAAAUACAGGGUUGUCUACAGGCAGCCUAGUUUUCACCGUAUGCAAUCAACUGCUAACUAUGAAAUCAAAACAAAAACAAUUCGAUCUUGCUUAUCCUCUUACAACAUGAGCAAUAAAAUUAAUGAGUGACUAUGGAAUCUUUUGGUUACGACCGACAGGGGCGCAAGUACUGGUUUCUUCCAUACGCAUCAUUGUCGAAGAAGCUGGCAGCCAGAAAGAACAUAUUUGAAGAUGACGAAGGAACUGUUGCCGCGGAGGUCCUUAAGAUUACGUUGGGCAGGAUACAUGAAGACCAUUGUACCCAAGCAAUCCUCUUGACCUCAGUAAGGACUAGGCGCCAAUAAGGAGAGUCCCCCGCAAAUGUAACUUGUCGCAUAAGUUCUCCGUUGCCCAAACGUUAUCACGUCCCAUUAUGCCAUAGGCCUUAAACACCAGAAACACUAAGGGUAUGAAAUUCAUCUUAAGUUACUGUCAAUUGAGUUCGACCGUAUCACGGAGUGAAGCAUCUAGCCCGAUGUCAUUCAAGAUUUCCAUCACGGCCCCAAGAAUUCAUAGGAAUUCAAUGAAUUCAUAGGAGGAAACGUGAAAGGGUCGUGGCCGUCGUGCAACCUACCGUCAAC
Molecule: long non-coding RNA, 965 nt
Filed under: Daphnia pulex (common water flea)
Lineage: Eukaryota; Metazoa; Arthropoda; Branchiopoda; Diplostraca; Daphniidae
Description: uncharacterized LOC124195809, transcript variant X1
Source: RNAcentral